UAGAUGUUAGAUUGGUGUUACCGUCGAAAGACAGAAGAGUCAGUGACAUAAGCAGUACAGUUUGGUGUCGUUCUUAUAUCUUGCUGCUGAAUAUCACUACUAGUACUUGUCAUUAGUGCGAUGCUGCUGACUUUAAAUUUCUUGUAUCCUGGAAAUUCUUUCUAAGUACAUAUCAAUAUCAAUAUUCAAACCUUAAUUUGUGUGGCAGCUGGUCUCUUCGUUUCUGCUUUUUAAACGGUGUUACCUGGUUUACAUGCAAAAAUUACUUCCUAGGUUUUUGUUUGCACCAUCGCGAUAAGCUACUUAUAUGGGGCAUAGAGUUCUACACUUGAGCUCAAUUGUGCCAUAUAGAAUUUUUUUGGCAAACAAUUUUUUUCUUGAAAUUUUUGGCAAUAAACAUUUUUGAAUUCCCUAUGAAGAAAAAGCAUUCAUAAUGCUCUGGGUGCAAGAAACAAAUUCAAUUUUCCAAAAGACUCUUUUAGAUUUUGCUGUUCAUAACAAGAGCAUAUGAGCUGGGAUUAGAAGAAUAGUUUUGACUUAUACCAGGGUUUUAUCUUCUUCUUACGCAGAGCUAAGAUCGUAUUAGUGGACAAAUGUCUAUGGAUUUCAUUUAUUGCUCAAAUCUAUGUGACACUUUGCUAAAACUUCUCGUGCGGCCCGGCCGCACCGGACCGCCCAUUUUUUGGACGACGGGGAGGCCUUCCCCAACUACCCACUCCCUUCACCUGGCAUGCGAUGGAUUCGAUUUGGAUGGGGCUCAAUUGAGGGGUUGUGCGCGUGCGUCCGGUUGCUCUGGUAGAUGGCCGGGGCACAUGGUGGCGGACCUGUCUAGGGCUGGACCAAAAGCUCGUAGCUCGCGAGCUUAAUGAGUACUCGAUAGUUCGACUCGUUAAGUUCGUAGCUCGCUUCUUAAUGAACAGAGCCAAUCAUUGAUUCUAGCUUGUUAAGCUUAACGAGCUUAACGAGCGAGCUAACGAGUUUCACGAGUAGCUCGUUAAGCUCGUUAGUAACAACACAACAUAUAUUUACAUAUUACAUGACAAACUUUUUGUAGCACCUCAGCCCAUCUAUUUAAUCUAAUCGACAUAUGAGGCAACGUACUACUUCAUUUCUUUUCUUAGUCAUAAUAUUUUAUCUUGAAAACCAUACCUACACAUUCAUCAUGUAUAUCGUAACACAUUAUAAUCUGUUAACAAGCGCUCACGAGCUUAACGAGCUUCAAACGAGCCGAGCCGAGCAUGGUUUUCUGCUCGUUAAUCUUAAUGAGCUUAACGAGCCGAGCCUUAACGAGCACGUGCUUAACGAGCCGAGCUGCUCGUUAGUCCAGCCCUAGACCUGUCCGUUGAGGUGGUGGAUGCAUGGGAGAUGCCACGAGGGGAGAUGGGCUGGCCGGAUUAGCUGUGGACCGAAGGUUUUGAAGGGCUGGGUGAAAACCUGUUGGCCAUGGCUGGAGCCUGUGACGGCAUCAUUGAUGGUGAUAGAUGUCGUAAUCUUCUUGAAGGCGUCAACGUGAUGCUCUCUCUUCCUCUAUGAGGGACAGCUCCAGGGGAAACCCCAAAUCCGGAGGGUUGGUCGUUGACGACGUGUUGGCGUCGUUUCCGUCGAUUCUGGAGUUUAAUCCGGCUAGAGGGACUAGUGGGUGUGCCGAGAGGUUGGGUGGCGGAAGGUGUUGGUGUGGCGUCGAGGCUUCUAUGCAAUGAUGAUGGGGACGAGUGAAGUCGGGGGCGUGGCAGUGGUUGCGGUAGUCGGCUCUUCUCCGACGUAUCUAUGGGAUUACCUCGGUAUGUUUGUUGUGGUGAAGUCGGAGUUGCGCUGCCCUCAGCGCGGGUGGCUGGGUUCUGACAUGGAUCUUCAUGUGUUCCUGCACAACCUCUGCGAUGUGUGCUGGGUCGACGUUUGUCUACCUCGAAGUCGGAUUUGCUUGCUCGAGGAUUAGGGAUGGCGAUGACGCCUGCUAGAGGAGAAGUGAUGACGAUGACGCAUAUGUGCUAACUCGAUGCGGCACUUUUUGUAAAGGUGUGUGUAGGAUAUCUUAUGUUUGCCGCUCAGCGGAUUGUGACGAUUUUCGUUUGUUUUUUAAUUAAUUAGGCAAUUCUCUUCUGCUUAACUAAUGAAUGAGUCAAGUGAAGUCUUUUGCCUCAGUUUUGAUUUUAUUUAUUUAUUUCGGAGAGUACUCGUGUUCCUUUUUAUUAUUGGUGCUAGAUUUGCUUAUAAAAGUCUUCAGCUCGUGCUAAUCGAUUAGUAGUACUUAUCCAUGUGACGCGAGUUCCCAUCUUUUCUUUGGUACCUGGACGGGAUACCCGAUUGGAUCCAAAUACAGUACAGGUCAUACUUUGUUACGACUUUCGAGUGUUCCAGGACUCGAUGUUUUGUUCUACAGACAGACUUAUUUUGUCUUAGCUUUCCGCUCCUCCUGCCCCCCUUGAUCUACAUCCACAUCAGUACUGCUCAACGCUGAACAAUGUGCCCGUUCCCGCGCCACCAUAUAUGACCAUUGUGGACUUGGACAAAUUUAUUUUCAUACUUCUGGAAUAUUACUGUAUUAGGCAAAUUUAUUUGCAUACUUCUUGAGAAUAAAAUAAUUUUAGGUUUUGUCCAUUUCGGCAUCUUUCGUUCUAUGCUCGACAAACGUUAUAUUAGUUCAUGUCCCUCGCGAGUAGCGACGUGCCAAUCAAUCGGGACAAGGCUGGCAGCCUUGAAUUGACCAGAAUGUCGCUAUGCAGAGAAACAAAGAAAAUGUGAAAGUAACAUAUACUAGUAGGCACGACUGGCAGAUCUCAAAUGAUGACUAAAAUUUGACCAUCUUGUCUAGGCUAUAGAGUUAAAUCUGGAAUAAACCCUAUAGUCUUGAGGGGUGGCCUUGGACAUGUCCUAACCCAAUAACCAUGGUUCAAGACCUCAAUAGGUUCACGUGCUAGAUAUAUUAGCAUUUUUUAUUAAUCUAAUCCACGAGUAAACAGAAAAUAUGACAUUCACAGUAUGCAACUCAUACCGAUACCUGAACAUGUGAGCACGUAUAUAGCAUAGAACAGAAACAUUUGUGAACAGAGUAUAUACGGCUAGCACAUGAACGAGCAAGUAGGGGAUGAACAAAUCAUACCUGCCGGUAGGCCAGGCAAGGGCCGCGGCAGCAACAGCAGCCUCGGCUUCGUCUGUGGCCUUCUUCUUGUUGGUGCCGUCACAGCGGUGAAGGGAAAGUAAUCGGAGCAGAGCGCGGAGACUGGGACGGAUCAGGAGCAGUCGGGCCGAGACGCUCCCAAAAAACUUACCGCCCUUCUCCCGGUGCAGAACCUCAAAGGACGGGGUUCCUGAGGCCUGCUCCCCUGUCCGUCCGUGCACGCGGUCGAUGGGAUGUGAUCAUAGGGAGUCAUGGGCCUGAGCUUAGGCCCACGACUGAGUAGGCAAUCGACCAAUGUUUCAACGUCUCAGACAAAUCCGUUAGUGGCUCAUUAAUUAAUCUGAAAUUAACUAACCAUUCCUGACCAGCAAAAAUAAAGCGCAAGCAUAGGUCUGAUUUUGGCUCUCAUUCAUGAAACAGGACACGCGUGGGUGGGCGAGGCGUGGCAAGGCGGGAGGAGGAGGAGGAGGAGCGAGCGUGUACCGCUCCUCUUCUCAAGCUCCCAAUAGCAUGUGGUAGAGCAACCCUUAUAUAGGGGUCUCAACUCUCCUCAACUUGUGGUGGUACUAAACUUCCCACCACCUUCCAUAUACCUACAUGGGCCUUAGAGAUUAACAAGAAUCAUUGUUCAUAUGGGCCCAAAGCCCAUAUAUGAUUCAACAACCCCACCAAAUCACGAGGCACAUUAAGUUGUCCUUUGUUCCAAACAAUGUUUUGAUAUACCCAAAUUUUCAGUGGAGACUGCUAAGUUGAACAUCCACCUAGAGAAAAAGGAUUAGCUUCUUCACAACUGAACAAUGUACUAUGCCUUGAAUUGUUGGUUUGGCAUGCCAAUUGUCAGCUGGUACUUGUCUAUUGAAGGCUAAAUCCCAUGGGUGGAGCUUAUUAGUCAUCUCAUGACCCGUUCACGAGCUUCCCAGAGAUUACCCUAUCUCAUAGACUAUGACCAACAGUCGGGCUCCAAUAAGUUUGUUCCUCCAAAGAUCGCUUCGUAGGAUGGAGUCUUGCUUACACAUGUUUUGGAACACAUUAAGAAUAAUGUCAACCCGCCUUACAAAUUACGAGAGUAUUGCAUCUCCAACAGAGUGGGUUAGUAAGGAUAGUCUCCUUAGUUGAUCACUAGCUUGUUUUUCUAGGUCCUAAUUCACGGGAUCAACAAUCACAUAGCUUGGGUUACCCCCAUGGCAACUCACAUGGGUUUCAUGCCCAUCUCUCCCUCAAUGCAUUUCCUAUCACAAUUCAUGAUAGCCCUGUUGUAAAGGGAUGUGCCAGGUUCUUAGCCGACUGGAUAUAAUCCAAUGAUAUUACUCCGGAGUUUCUUGAAUGCUUGACAUAUUUCAAUCUUCUUAUUCUGUGCUUUGUGGAUUGCAUGUUGUCCUUUAAACUCUUUGUCUUGACAGUUGUUGUCUGAUUGUCACAGUUCAUAAGGAUAGCCAGGACUGGCUUGUCAACCACUCAAAAAUCCAUCAAAAAUUGUUGAAGUCAUUCUACUUCAACACAUGAAGUGUAUAAUGCUGUGAGUUGUGUAUCCAUAGUCGAUCAUAUUAAGAUUGUCUGCUUGCAAGACUUCUAGGAAACAACACCACCAUCAAGUAGGAACACAAAUCCAUUUGUGGCUUUCAUCUCAUCAGUAUUAGAGAUCCAAUUCGCAUCACUAUACCCUUCAAGUACCGUCGGGUAUCCAUUAUAGUGAAGGCCAUGGCUCAUAAUACCUUGCAAAUAGCGCAUAACUCUUUCAGCGACAUGCUAAUGUUCAUCUAUCGGGUUUGAAAAAAUGGCUUAGUUUGCACACAACAAAUGAGAUGCCAGGCCAUGUAGCAGUAUCUAGGUACAUGAGUGAACCUAUCACUUGAGAGUAUCUCAUUGAUCUAAAGUUGUGCCUUUGAACUUCUGAAUCCGCACGCUAGAAUCAUAUGGUGUUGGAGAAGGUUUGCAAUCUGAAUACCAAAAUUGACUUAGAAUCUUCUCAACAUAGUGGGAUUGCAGAAGUGUAAUUCCUAUAGGAAAUAUGCCCUAGCGGCAAUAAUAAAUUGGUUAUUACCAUAUUUCCCGUUCAUGACAAAUGUUUAUUGUUCAUGCUAGAAUUGUAUUGACCAGAAGCUUAAAUAAACAUGUGAAUACAUAAACUGCAUCGUGUCCUUAGUAAGCCUCUACUAGACUAGCUCAUUGAUAAAAUAUGGUUAUGGUUUCCUAACCAUAGACAUGAGUUGUCAUUUGAUAACGGAAUGACAUCAUUAUGAGAAUGAUGUGAUAGACAGACCCAACCGUAAGCUUAGUAUUAGAUUGUUUAGUUUUUGCUACAACUUUCUUCAUGUCAAGUAUCAUUCCUAAGACAUGAGAUCAUGCAACUCCCAGAUACCGGAGGAAUGCCUUGUGUGCUAUGUUGACACCUGAUUUUGGCAUGGUCGAAAACAUAAUUAAGAAGGCCUCAAACAGAAAAGUGCUCAAAGUGAGAAAGUUUCGUAUCGUCAAAAGGGAAACUUUGAUAUUUGGGCCAUAGCCAUCUCGUCUCAUCUCUAAGGCCGAAGUUGUGUUCGAAGUACUGAGAUUUUGUAUCUAAAACACUAUUUGGCUGAUUACGCCCCCAAUAUGGCCUCAUAUGAGAAAACUUUCUACACAAACUGUUUUCGUCUCGUCGAAACGGUCGAUUUUGAUAUAAAAACAUCUUAAUCCGAGGUCGUAUGCAAAAGUUACAGCUAGUACAAGAUGCUGCUGCACUGGAUGGCCGGACACUCCGGGGACAAUCAUCCGGGUUUUGAUUUCUCUGUGGAUGGCCGGACACUCCGGGUAUGUUUGUCCGGGUUUUGAAUUUCGCUGCUGCAGACUUUGGAAAACAGCCGAAGCCCCCCUCAAGAUGGCCUGAGAUCAAAAAACGUUCAACAUGAAAGUUGUUCGCCUCGUCGAAACGGUCAAGAUUGCUUUUGGGCUUGUUUCCAUCCGAAAUCGUUUACUCCCCCAAACAUGGCCUGCAAGGUGCAGCCAGAUUUUACCGAACAGUUUUGAAAGUUCGGACCAAGCAAAUGUGAAUUGGACUAGGGUUUUGGAUGUGAAUUGAAGCCUUUUCCUUGCACGGGAAGUCUAGCCGCCUCUUAUAUACUUAAGAGGUGACGGCCAGUUGAACAACACACAAUCGAACAAAUCAUCUAUCACUUUUUAUCUUUUAUCUUUUCUCCUUAACCCUAGUUCUUCUUCUUCCUCGUUUUUGUCUGUUCUUCUUAUUGUAGGGCGGCGAACCUCGAGGCCCUAGUGGCGAUCAGGUCGACCUAGGGCAGCCCAUAGCCGCCACAUGCCCUGACGGGGUCCCUCCCGGGUGUGUGGGGUUUCGGGUCAUCAAAAGCGCCCGCCAGAUUGCUUGCGUACCGCGCUUCCAGAUGGGUCUCCUUCGACGUGAUCUGCGGUGCAUCACCCUCGACGUUGGAGGUACACGGUGACGUGUUCAUAUGCGAACACACUUUUUGGCGACUCCGCUGGGGACCGAAGCUUUGAACGGUCUCCGGCCCGUUCUUGCUACGAAGAGAUCGUCAUCUAGGGUUUGCAAUCUACAAAGGUAACAUGAAUGCCCAAUUCACUUAUGUAGAUGGAAAUAAUGCAUAUGUUGUUGCUAGAUCGUCUAAUGAGCAUAUUGUAUCGGCUAUCCCUAGUUUUAUCAAUCAUGCAUCUAAUUAUGUGCAACAGCCGAUUCAGAAUAAUCUUCAUGCUUCAACUUCAUAUACUUUUAGCAACAUGCAACAUAUGUAUCCCAACUCCCAUGCAUCGGCAACCCCACAAAUUUAUAUGCCGAUGAACAACAUGAUGAGUUCGGUUAAUCAUGUUGAGACACCCCAUGUAGGAACUUCCAAUAGUAUGCAACAAAGUGUUUCGAAUUUUUAUUCAUCGGCAAAUAACUUGCAGUAUGUUAAUCCAAACGUGCCGGUGGAUAGGGGAAUUGGCCAUGCCACUACUAGUUAUUCGGCCAAUUACCCUCAAACAUCAUAUGCUACACCUCAUGCUACUAAUUUUUUGGCACCAUAUGCAACUGUUGAUGUCCAUAAUUCGGCUCCGCACCUUCAUGGUCAUGGCCGAAUAAGUGAAAUUUUUACAGGAGAUCAAAUGCCUUCACCUACUACCGUGGCAUAUCAUGUUCCCCCAACACAAUUACAGAAUUUCGGCAAUAUCUCAUUGCCGAAAGAGUCUAAAGCAUCGGGGGCAACCAUAUCCAGACUAGGUAGUUGAGAACAAGCUUACAUUCUCUUGGGAUUUGUGCAACUCAAUUCGAAAGGAACUAAUAGAAGGCGGGAAGCCUCAUGAUUUUGCUGCAGUAAAAGCUAGAAUUGUGCAAAUGAUGCAUUCGCCCAGUGUUGUACUAUCCAGUGCACCCCCUAAACAAUUGCAAAAUUUCGGCACCUCAUUGCCGAAAAAGUCUCAAAGUAUUGGGGGGCAAUCUCAUGAGGAGUGGAUGGAAAUUGAGAUGAAAAAGGUUAAAGCUCGCCAAGCUGAGAUGUGGGCUAAAAUUAGACAAGAGCGAGAAGCCUUGCAAAUAUAAAAAGAUAAAAGUAUUGAUUCAGGUAACAAUGAAAAUUCGGUUAUUGAAUAAGCCGAAUCAAAUAUUAUGUGUGCCGAAUCUAUUGAAGAAAAAGAGGGUGCCAAGGUGUUGGGGAGCCAACUGAAAAUGGAACAAAGUAUCAUUCAAAUUACACCACCGUCAUGCUCUCCCAACAUAUUCAAAGAGGUAUGUCUAGCAAGUGAUUUACCUAUUUUCAGAUUUGGUCGCAACUUUAUUGUUGAUGCAUGUAUUAGAAAAAAUCUUAUAAGUAAUUUUGAAAGACCAAUGAUGAAGGGAAAUUUACUUGUUAGCAAUAAAAUGGUUACUGAGCAUAUCGGUCACUACAUUGUACCAUUCAAAGAGACCGAUGGUGACUUAUUAUUGCAGCCAAAGCUUUUCCCAUUGCUUUAUUUAAAGUUCAUAUCUAAUUGGGUAGCUUUGUUGCUUCAUACUUGACUUAUGCAUGGUCUCAAUUGAAACAUGUAUGUUAUAACUAUUUUGAUUUUAGAAAUUUAAAGCCAAGGUUAUUCUCUAUUGAGAAAACCGAUGAUAGUAUAAUUUGUUUUUCAAAGACAUCGGUAAAAGAAUGCGAAAUAAAAUUUAUAGCCGAAUGGGAUGAUACAAAAUCUAAACCAUUCGUUUGCUUAACAACAAAACCGUUCUCAUAGCAAGAUCGGCUAGAAAAUAAAAAAAUACCUUCAAUUCAAACAUGUGUGAUCAAAUCUUUGAUUUCUUGUUGAAAAAUAAUUAUAUUAGAAUUAUUGAUCACCAUGUCAGGCCAUCAAUCCAAGGACGAAUGUAUUGUAGGUUGCAUCAUUCGUUCAAACAUAAUUUUGAGGAUUGCGACAUGUUUCAUCAAAUAGUCAAAUUUGCCAUUGAGAAAGGACGAUUGAGAUUUGUUGAAACACCAAGGGAUGACCAGUCUAUUCCGAUUGAUCCUAAUGGGAAAAAGUUUUUGAAUCAGCUACUUCAAGACGAUUCCUUUAAAGAUGAGAAGGUAAAAACUACAGGUGAUGGGAUCAAGCUUUCAAGUAAAGAAGUUGUUCAAGAGCACAAUGAAAAUAUUCUUGAAGGCCUGAGUUCUAUCGAAGCUACAAUGGAGACGCCAAGGAGUGGGGGGCAACAAGCAAAUCCAAUGAUCGAUGAAAGCAAACCAAAAGAAAAUAAAGGCCGAAAUAAGCGCAAGUGUAAGAGAUCAAAAAUCAUCUUCGCUGAACUAUUGUAUAAAUAUCAAAAGAAGAGUGAAGAGAAGAAUGCUAAUCGGCCAAAUCAUGCAAAUAAACCAAGAUCACCCCCAAGGUGCAAAUAUGAGGAUCGGUAUUGGCAAAGUGAGAAUUUUAAUGCAACAUAUUCAUAUCCUUAUUUUGGGCCGCCAAUGCCAAUGCCGUGGAUGCCUCCCUAUGGUCAUAUAGAUUCAUAUCCAUCAUGGGAUAGGUAUGAUACAAGGGCACAUUAUCCAUCUUAUUUUAGACCAUCUCACCAAUAUUAUGUAGCUCCGAGGAGAUCAACAUUUGGACAAUCUGUCACGCCCAAGAUGUGACCCUAUCCUAAAGGAACUCGAAGGUCCCACCAAGGAUAGAAGCACAUCUUGAAGACGCUUUUGUAAGGUGGAUAUCAUUACAUCAAACCAUUACAUAAUAGUUAGGGAUACAUACAAGAGGCAUACAAUGCCACACGAAUACAACAUCACAAUACAUGAGCACAACAUUCGACUACGGAUGAAACACAAACAGAAACUCAAACGACAUCCACCCUGCUAGCCCAGGCUGCCGACCUGGAACCUAUCCCCUGAUCGAAGAAGAAGCAGAAGAAGAACUCCAAAACAAGUAACAUCGCUCUCGCGUCAUGAUCAUCGCAUAACCUGUACCUGCAACUGUUGUUGUAGUAAUCUGUGAGCCAUGAGGACUUAGCAAUCCCAUUACCAUGGGUAUCAAGACUAGCAAAGCUUAAUGGAGAAAGGAAGGGGUGAAGUGGUGAGGUAGCAGCAACGACUAAGCAUAUAUGGUGGCUAACAUACGCAAAUGAGAGCGAGAAGAGAACCAAACAGAACGGUCGUGAAGCUAGCAAUGAUCAAGAGGUGAUCCUGAACUCCUACUUACGUCAAACAUAACCCAAAACCGUGUUCACUUCCCGAACUCCGCUGAAAAGAGAUCAUCACGGCUACACACGCGGUUGAUGCGUUUUAACUCGAAUCUGGUGUCAAGUUAUCUACAACCAGACAUUAACAAAUUCCCAUCUGCCACAUAACCGCAGGCAUGGCUCUCGAAAGUUUAUACCCUAUAGGGGUGUCCCAACUUAGCCCAUCACAAGCUCUCACGGUCAACGAAGGAUAUUUCUUCUCCCAGGAAGACCCGAUCAGUCUCGGAAUCCCGGUUUACAAGACAUUUCGACAAUGGUAAAACAAGACCAGCAAAGCCGCCCGAUGUGCCGACAAUCCCGAUAGGAGCUACACAUAUCUCGUUCUCAGGGCAACACCGGAUGAGACUAGCUAUGAGUAAAACCAUCCCUCAAGUUUCCCCGAGGUGGCCCCGCAGGCAGCUCGGUUCGAACCAGCACUUAGAGAAGCACUGUCCUGGGGGGGGGCUAAAAUAAAGAUGACCCUCGGGUUGGCUGACCCAAGGGAAAGGUAUAGGUGGUGGUGAGGCAAAUGGUAAAACCAAGGUUGGGCCUUGCUGGAGGAGUUUUAUUCAAGGCAAACUGUCAAGGGGGUCCCAUAAAUCACCCAACCGCGUAAGGAACACAAAAUCCGGGAACAUAACAGCGGUAUGACGGAAACUAGGGCGGCAAGAGUGGAACAAAACACCAGGCAUAAGGCCGAGUCUUCCACCCUUUACCAAGUAUAUAGAUGCAUUAAUUAAAUAAGAGAUAUUGUGAUAACCCAACAAUAAUCUUGUCCACCAUGGAGCAAUCUUCAACUUCACAUGCAACUAACAACGCUAUAAGAGGGGCUGAGCAAAGCGGUAACAUAGCCAAAAAACGGUUUGCCAGGAAGGGUGAAAAGGUUAGAGGCUGACAUGGCAAUUUGGGGAGGCUUGAGGAGCAAAUGAUAGGUAGCACAACAUAGCGAUAAAACGAAGCAACUAGCAUAGCAAUGAUAGUAGUGAGAUCCAAGGUGACGGUCAUCUUGCCUGAAAUCCCGCUAGGAAGAAGAACGAGUCCAUGAAGAAGAUGAAGCCACGUAGACGAACCAAGCGUAGACGAACGAAUCCUCACGAUCGCAAUGAAACGGGAACUAUCGAGAAGAAGCACACAACAUAGUAAACACACCACACAUGAACAAGGCAUGAUGCUCAACCAAGUAUGAUGCAUUGCUACAUGAAGCUACUCAUGACAAGAGAUGAUGAAUACAAGGGCAACACAACAAAGCAAGUUUAAAUGAGGCCGGAAACAACAUAUAACAAUUCUGGUAAGUCCUCAUAUGCAAGUUUCGAAGUUGGUCCAGAUCUGAACAAACAUUAAGUUGAAGUUGUUAAACAGCAAGUUAAAGAGCACCAAGAGGAUUUACACGAAAUUCUAGUCAAGUUACAUAUAAAGUUCAUUUGGUUCGGAGCUACGGCCUCAAAACGGAGCAACGGUUCAACACAUACACUCUAUACAAGUUUAAAGGACAAGCUGUCCAAAACAGCAACUAGGCAUCUAGCAAACAUCAAAACAAUAUGCUACAGCAUCCCAACAUGAAAAUAAAAGGCAUGGGCAUGAAGCAAAGGUAAAUCAUGACAAAACAUGAACACUGAGCUAUCUCUAGAAAACACUAGAAUAUGCUCAAAAGGUCAUGGCAAGAUUGCAAAUAAUAACAGUUUACAGACUUAGCAGAAAUAACAUCAGGUUGCAAUGUUUAGAGCUAUCAAACAACAUGCUAAAGGAACUUAACAUGGCAAAGAAAGGCAUGGCAUGCUAAUAAUAAAGACAAAGAACAACACUCCCUUACUGAACUAAUUCCAAAGGUCAAGAGAAAAGAUGGUAGCAUCCAUGCAAACAUGGCAAAUGAUAUAACAGAUUCAGACAUGGCAUGAACAACAAUAAGUAGGCAUGUUGGUGAGCUUGUACCACUCACCACAGAGCAUUACAUGGCAUUAAAAGGUGACCAACAGUAAGAUGACAUAUUUAUGAAGCUAAACAUGGCAAGAUAAAGUUCAUAGGGUGCAUGGAUCACUAGCAAAGCUCAUGGCAAAACUGAACUUAAAAGUUAAUAGGCUAACAACAACAUUAUUUAGCAAGUUUGGAGCACAAUUACAACAAGCUACAGCAGGCUAUAAAUGCAACCACGGGCAUGGAUGGAUAGAUCAUGACAUGUAUAACAAAACAACCUUAGUGAACAUCUCCAGAUUAUGCAUGGAAUGACUUGUAGCAGCAGGUUUACAUAGCAUCAUGAUAUAGCAGAUUCAGCCUAGCAAAACAACAACAACAAGUACACUACUUCACGAGCUCAAUGCACUCUGUACAAGACUCACAAAAAUACAUGUAUUGCACGACUGUAAAUAUGGCAUGAUGUAGCUCAAAACUCAUGUAGACAUCAAGCUCAUAGGAUGCACACACAGAGUGCAACAAAAAUGACAAAACAUCAAGUUCUAUUAACAGGCAGCAGUUAACAUCAUAUAGCACUCUUGUAACGAUGAUAUGGGCAUCAAGAUGGACUCAAACAAGCAUUGCACAAUGGAAAAAAAUUAAGAGCAUCUCAUAGUCAACAUUUUGAUAUAUUACAUGCACAAAACGGAGCUACAUGCAAGAAGUUAUGACAUGAUGAACAUGGGCACAUAAUGUAGCAAUUUUGGGACUUGGCAGUUUUGUAGAAGAAAAAAAACAUGGGGUGAGCAAAAACAUCUAUAAUGCGCUCAGGGCGAGAGAUAGGGCUGGAUCCGGGGCUCACCUUGCUGGGCCACGGCCCAGGUCGGCGGGGACGAAGUGGGACGGCGCGCUGGGCUGCGAAGCUGGCUGGGCCACGGGGCCCACGGGUCGCUCCUCCUCCCGAUCCCACCGGAUCGAGGGGAAGGCAGGGGGGUUCGGCGCGACACCGACGAGGCGUGGCCGCGCUCCGGCGAGGCCCCAGGGCGUGGGAUGGGCGGAUCCAAAGCAGAGGAGGCCAGAUCCCGCCGGAUCCGUGUCCGGAGCAGGGUGGCAGCAUGGGGCCGACAGCGAGCUCCUCUGGGCUCCUGCUGCAGAGAGCGAGAGGGGGAUUAGGGGAAGAUGGUGAUGGGGAGAGAUGAGAGAUGGCUGGCGGCGCCGUGACCUGGGUCUGGCGGUGGCCUCCGGCGAGAGGGUGACGGGACGACGAGGACGACGGUCGACGGCGGGGUUGGCGGCGCGCAGGCGGAGCUCCUGGGCGGCUACCGUUGCGGGGGCGCGGUCGCGCGGGCUCCCACGGGCUGCAGCGGCGGCGGCGGGCCUAGGACGGGCCUGAUCUGGGCCCUCAGGGCCGCGGGAGGUGGGAGUCUGAGGGGGGAGAGGCGCGGGCGACGUGGCGUAACGCCGUUGGCUGCGGCGGUGACUGGGAGGUGAGGUGGCGCGAGCGGGUUGGCUGGAGGGCAGCGAUGCGGCGGCGCCAAGUGGCUGGCUGUGGCUGGCGGCGGUGGCUCCGAGGUGGGAGGAGGCUAGGGGUAGGGGAAGGCUAGGGUAGCCCAAAUUUGGAAGGAGGGGUCUAUAUAUAGCAAAAAGAGGCUAGGGUUGGGGGGUUUGUGGAUGAUCUCGGGCAUCAGAUCGUGAUCCGACGGUGCGGAACAGAGGGGUGUUUAGGUGGGCUGCAUAUGGACUAGUUUAGUGGCUGUGAAGAGGGUGUGGGCUGCGGGAGAGAAGAGAGAGAGAGAGAGAGGCCCGACGACAGUUUCGGAGACCGAAACGUCCGGCGAAUACACCGACUAUAUUGUGGUUAUAAGUUAACGGUUGGGCUAUCAAACGAGCUCCGAAUGCGACGAAACUUGACAGGCGGUCUACCUACACUAUAAUAAGACUGCACGCCAACUUUCUUCACAUUCCGAGAACAUUUUAAGCCACUUAUAAAUUAAUAUUUCGGAGGUGCCGCGGGCGUGUGCGAGUGUGGCUGAGCUCAGAACGGACAACGGAGAGAACCGGCGGAACCCGAACGGAUGCAAGAUUUGAAAAACAUGCAGAUGAAAUGCAGAUGAUGACAUGGCAAAAUGCAACACACAAGCAAAUGACAUGGCAACGACAGCGAAUAACUGGGAGACACCUGGCGCAUCGAAUCCGGGGCAUUACAACUCUCCUCCACUAACAAGAGAUCUCGUGCCGAGAUCUUAGGACCGAGACGGAAGGGAAAAGGGAUGAGGUGAAACAAGAACUCAAGAGAAGAAGCAAAGAAUCGAGAGCACUCGGGUCGGAAGGGAAAAGGCGAAUAUGACGAGAAUCAAAAGUUCAUGGAAACAAGAUAGACUCUGAAACCACUCCGGUUAGAACGAGAUAAGAAACGAGUAAGAUUGAAAGGAUUUAGGCAACACUCCGGUUGGAACAUGGAGGAAUAGAACACGAGCUUGAGAGGAUGGAAUGAUACUUGACGAAGACAUGACACAAAACCUCCGGAAAGAAUUGAAAGAGUUGAAUGAAAAGAACGGAGAAGAAAAUGACAACUUGUGCCACGAAUGAAAUUGAAAGCAUCUUUAGAAGGAAGGUUUAAACGGAAUUGUUGAGAAAAUCAACAACAAAAAGAAUAUACUUGUUGUGGUCUUAUAGGUAACAUCUCAAGAUCAUAAGGUGAUAACCGACCACAAAUGGAAAUGAUUGGAUAGCUGAGAAGAACGACGAAAUGCAAAACUUCACUUCAAAAGAAUACGGAGAAUUAAUUGCACUUUUAGAUGCAAGAAGGAAGAUACUAGAACUCCUUGAACAAGAAUCUUGAUGAACACUUGAAGAAUGAAUUAAAUACUGACGAACACCAUGAAGAACUCCGGUAAAAUAAAGGAUGAUGAGAUAGAAUCCAAGGAUAGAAAGAAUAAGAUUAAGGCCUUGCGAUGAUUUAGAUAGAGGUUCCGACGAAAUGGCCGAGGAAAUUUGAACUCCGGAAAAGAGAAGAUGAAAACACUUGGAACUAGAAUUUAUUCCACACGAACAAACUCCGAAGGAAGGGAUUAAUCACUUGAUGAAAGAAGAAUAAGAAUUACGUUAUGCUUAUCCUCCACCAAUUAAAUUGAUGAGAAGAAAUGGAUUUGCAUAUUACUUAUUAUUGUUGAAAAGGAUUAAGGGGGGGGGGGUAUAGCACAAAACUUAAGAAAGUCUUCAUGAACCACUGGUAGGAUUCGAAAGAGCGAAUGGAUUAAAAUGAUAAUCACAGAAAAAGAAUCUUGAAUGAACCACCGUAAAAAUUCGAAAAUGACUGAUUAAAGAGUAUGAAUCACCGGGAACAAUUAGAAGAACCAAAUGCUAGAGGGGAUUUAGAUGCAAAAGAACAAAAAGAUCAUGAUCUGAUUAAAGAACACUUGAACGAAGCACCGUGAUAAUUCGAUAACGGUAGCUGAAAUGUGAGGACGAAGAAUUCUUCUGGAAUGAUGGCCUCUGGUGAAAAGAAAUGGAAAAAACAACUCCUGAUAUACUCCGGAUGGGUAAGGAAAGAAUAUCUGACAAAUGGAAUAAUUUGAGACGAUAGCAUGAAACUAGAACCGUGAGUCUUCGAGAGAACGGGCAAGAUUUAGAGGAAAAACUCUUCUUCGAUCUUCAAAUGACGACGAGAAACACCACCAAAAUUUGUUAAGGCACUCCGGGGGAACGAAAAAGCGAAGAGGUUGAGGCAACAAUGAAAAUGAUUUGAAAUUGAUCUUGGGAAAGAUCUGACUGAUGAAAUCCAUUCUUAUGUCACCCUUUGAAAAGAAUUUGAGAAUAACUCCGAGAGAAUUAGAAGAGCCAGGUAAGAUCCUAGGAAAAGACCUAUGGGUUAGGGCCCACUGAAGAGAAAAACACCGUUGGAAAGGGAUGUUGAACAGAUAGAUGAUGCACCAGAACAAUUGAAAUAUUUGAAUGAGGUGGCAACCUCGACUUAAUUAGAACACACACGAAUCUCCUGAGAUGUCUUCCGAACUCCGGAAUGAUUGAAUGGCGAGAGGCAAACGAGCAAGGAGAACACUUGAUCCAAGGAAAAGAAUAUGAUCACCCCGAAAAACUUGAAUUGAAUCCACCAGGAAAGAAAGAGUUGAAGAAUGUCAAACGAGACGAGAAUUCACCGGUUGAGAUAAUUUACGAAAGACUGAAGAGGUUCCGCACGAAUGAAAUUGAUGGUCGAAAGAGACUCAAACUCCGGAAAGAAGAGGGUGGGAGGGCGGGAAAAAACAAAGGGCGACUUGGAAGGGGAAAACCGAUGAAUAACUUGAAGAGUAAACACCGGUUGAAAGAAAGCAAUGGCUUCGCACGAGUAGGAUGGAUACUCGAUUACGGACUCCAGUUCCGAGAAGAAAAGGGAUGGGUGGGUGGGAUAAGAAGACAACUGAGGAUUGAACUCAAAUAUGAAGAGGCUCGAGUCAACUUGACAAGAAAUGCACUGGAUGAAAAGAGCUGAGAACCAACGAACGGAAAACCAACUGCGUGAACCUAAAGAAAAAUUUGAAGGGGAAGAGAAGUAAUUCAAAACACCUACGUCAAGAUUCCUCACCAGAGCGACGAAGGGGCUGAGGAGUAAAAAUAAUUCCUACUCUUCGAUAUAUCUAGACUCCAAAAUAGUUUUCUUCUAGACUCAACAACGGCCAAGCUACACGAUCAAACAAGGGGGCUCCUAUGGUCGAUCGAGGCUCUGAUACCAACUUGUCACGUCCAAGAUGUGACCCUAUCAUAAAGGAACUCGAAGGUCCCACCAAGGAUAGAAGCGCAUCUUGAAGAUGCUUUUGCAAGGUGGAUAUCAUUACAUCAAACCAUUACAUAAUAGUUGGGGAUACAUACAAGAGGCAUACAAUGCCACACGAAUACAACAUCACAAUACAUGAGCACAACAUCCGACCAAACGAAUGAGACACAAAUAGAAACUCAAACGACAUCCACCCUGCUAGCCCAGGCUGCCGAACUGGAACCUAUCCCCUGAUCAAAGAAGAAGCAGAAGAAGAACUCCAAAACAAGUAACAUCGCUCUCGCGUCAUGAUCAUCGCAUAACCUGUACCUGCAACUGUCGUUGUAGUAAUCCGUGAGCCACGAGGACUCAACAAUCCCAUUACCAUGGGUAUUAAGACUAGCAAAGCUUAAUGGAGAAAGGAAGGGGUGAAGUGGUGAGGUAGCAGCAGCGACUAAGCAUAUAUGGUGGCUAACAUACACAAAUGAGAGCGAGAAGAGAAGCAAACAAAACGGUCGUAAAGCUAGCAAUGAUCAAGAGGUGAUCCUGAACUCCUACUUACAUCAAACAUAACCCAAAACCGUGUUCACUUCCUAGACUCCACCGAAAAGAGACCAUCAUGGCUACACAUGCGGUUGAUGCGUUUUAAUUCGAAUCUGGUGUCAAGUUAUCUACAACCGGACAUUAACAAAUUCCCAUCUGCCACAUAACCGCGGGCACGGCUCUCGAAAGUUUAUACCCUGCAGGGGUGUCCCAACUUAGCCCAUCACAAGCUCUCACGGUCAACGAAGGAUAUUCCUUCUCCCAGGAAGACCCGAUCAGUCUCAGAAUCCCGGUUUACAAGACAUUUCGACAAUGGUAAAACAAGACCAGUAAAGCCGUUCGAUGUGUCAACAAUCCCGAUAGGAGCUGCACAUAUCUCGUUCUCAGGGCAACACCGGAUGAGACUAGCUAUGAGUAAAACCAGCCCUCAAGUUUCCCCGAGGUGGCCCCGCAGGCAGCUCGGUUUGAACCAGCACUUAAAGAAGCACUGGCCCGGGGGGCUAAAAUAAAGAUGACCCUCGGGUUGGCCGACCCAAGGGAAAGGUAUAGGUGGUGGUGAGGCAAAUGGUAAAACCAAGGUUGGGCCUUGCUGGAGGAGUUUUAUUCAAAGCAAACUGUCAAGGGGGUCCCAUAAAUCACCCAAUCGCGUAAGGAACGCAAAAUCCGGGAACAUAACACCGGUAUGACGGAAACUAGGGCGGCAAGAGUGGAACAAAACACCAUGCAUAAGGCCGAGUCUUCCACCCUUUACCAAGUAUAUAGAUGCAUUAAUUAAAUAAGAGAUAUAGUGAUAACCCAACAAUAAUCCUAUCCACCAUGGAGCAAUCUUCAACUUCACCUGCAACUAACAACGCUAUAAGAGGGGCUGAGCAAAGUGGUAACAAAGCCAAACAACAGUUUGCUAGGAAGGGUGAAAAGGUUAGAGGCUGACAUGGCAAUUUGGGGAGGCUUGAGGAGCAAAUGAUAGGUAGCACAGCAUAGCGAUAGAACGAAGCAACUAGCAUAGCAAUGAUAGUAGUGAGAUCCAAGGUGACGGUCAUCUUCCCUGAAAUCCCACUAGGAAGAAGAACGAGUCCAUGAAGAAGAUGAAGCCACAUAGAUGAACCAAGUGUAGACGAACGAAUCCUCACGAUCGCAACGAAACGGGAACUAUCGAGAAGAAACACACAACAUAGUAAACACACCACACAUGAACAAGGCAAGAUGCUCAACCAAGUAUGAUGCAUGACAAGGCUACAUGAAGCUACUCAUGACAAGAGAUGAUGCAUACAAGGGCAACACAACAAAGCAAGUUUAAAUGAGGCCGGAAACAACAUAUAACAAUUCUGGCAAGUCCUCAUAUGCAAGUUUUGAAAUCGGUCCAGAUCUGAACAAACAUUAAGUUGAAGUUGUUAAACAGCAAGUUAAAGAGCACCAAGAGGAUCUACACGAAAUUCUAGUCAAGUUACAUAUAAAGUUCAUUUGGUUCGGAGCUACGGCCUAGAAGAUAUGAGCAAAACAAGUUAAACAUGGCAUUGAUGUAAAAUACAGUCAAACAUCAAGAAAACACUCUUAAAACAAGUAUGCAACAUGAUAAUAUUAAACUUCAUGCAAAAGCAAGCAAGUUUCAUAUAGAGCACACUCAAAACGGAGCAACGGUUCAACACAUACACUCUAUACAAGUUUAAAGGACAAGCUGUCCAAAACAGCAAUAGGCAUCUAGCAAGCAUCAAAACAAUAUGCUAUAGCAUCCCAACGUGAAAAUAAAAGGCAUGGACAUGAAGUACAGGUAAAGCAUGACAAAACAUGAACACUGAGCUAUCUCCAUAAAACACUAGAACAUGCUCAAAAGGUCAUGGCAAGAUUGCAAAUAAUAACUGUUUACAGACUUAGCAGAAAUAACAUCAGGUUGCAAUGUUUAGAGCUAUCAAACAACAUGCUACAUGAACUUAACAUGGCAAAGAAAGGCAUGGCAUGCUAAUACUAAGACAAAGAACAAAACUCCCUUACUGAACUAAUUCCAAAGAUCAACCAAAAAGAUGGUAGCAUACAUGCAAAGAUGGUAAAUGAUAUGACAGAUUCAGACAUGGCAUGAACAACAAUAAGUAGGCAUGUCGGUGAGCUUGUACCACUCACCAUAGAGCAUUACAUGGCAUGACAAGGUGACCAACAAUAAUAUCGCAUAUUUAUGAAGCUAAACAUGGCAAGAGCAAGUUCAUAGGGUGCAUGGAUCACUAGCAAAGCUCAUGGCAAAACUGAACUUAAAGUUAACAGGCUGACAUCAACAUUAUUUAGCAACUUUGGAGCACGAUUACAACAAGACACAUUAGGCUAUAAAUGCAACCAGGGGCAUGGAUGGAUAUAUCAUGACAUGUAUAACAAAACAUCCUCAGUAAACAUCUCCAGAUUAUGCAUGGAAUGACUUGUAGCAGCAGGUUUACAUAGCAUCAUGAUAUAGUAGAUUCAGCCUAGCAAAACAGCAACAACAAGUACACUACUUCACGAGCUCGAUGCACUCUGUACAGGACUCACAAAAAUACAUGUAUUGCACGACUGUAAAGAUGGCAUGAUGUAGCUCAAAAGUCAUGUAGACAUCAAGCUCAUAGGAUGCACACACAAAAUGCAACAAAAAUGACAACAUCAAGUUCUGUUAACAGGCAGCAGUUAACAUCAUAUAGCACUCUUGCAACGACGAUAAGGGCAUCAAUAUGGACUCAAACAAGCAUGGCAUCAAAAUGAAGAGCAUCUCACAAUGAACAUUAUGAUAUAUUACACGCACAAAACAGAGCUACAUGCAAGAAGUUAUGACAUGAUGAACAUGGGCACAUAAUGUAGCAAUUUUGGGACUUAGCAGUUUUGUAGAAGAAAAAAAACAUGGGGUGAGCGAAAGCAUCUAUAAUGCGCUCAGGGCGAGAGAUAGGGCUGGAUCCGAGGCUCACCUUACUGGGCCACGACCCAGGUCGGCGGGGACAAAGCGGGCCGGCGCGCUGGGCUGCGGAGCUGGCUGGGCCGCGGGGCCCACGGGUCGCUCCUCCUCCCGAUCCCACCGGAUCGAGGAAAAGGCAGGGGGGUUCAGCGCGACGCCGACGAGGCGUGGCGGCGCUCCGGCGAGGCCCCAUGGCGUGGGACGUGCGGAUCCGGAGCGGAUGAGGCCAGAUCCCGCCGGAUCCGUGUCCGGAGCAGGGCGGCAGCACGGAGGCGAGGCAGCAUGGGGUCGGCGAUGAGCUCCUCUGGGCGGCGGUGCUCACCUUUGGCAGAGAGCGAGAGGAGGAUUAGGGGAAGAAGGCGACGGGGAGAGAGGAGAGAUGGCUGGAGACGCCGUGACCUGUGUCCGGUGGUGGCCUCCGACGAGAGGGUGACGGGGCGACGAGGACGACGGCCGGCGGCGGGGUUGGCAGCAUGCAGGCGGAGCUCCUGGGCGGCUACUAUUGUGAGGGCGCGGUCGCACGGGCUCCCGCGGGCUGCAGCGGCGGCAGCGGGCCUUGGGUGGGCCCGAUCUGGGCCCUCAGGGCUGCGGGAGGUGGGAGUCUGAGGGGGGAGAGGCGCGGGCGAUGUGGCGUAAUGCCGUUGGCUGCGGCGGCGGCUGGGAGGUGAGGUGGCGCGAGCUGGUUGGCUGGAGGGCGGCUAAGCGGCGGCGCCAAGUGGCUGGCUGCGGCUGGCGGCGGUGGCUCCGAGGUGGGAGGAGGCUAGGGGUAGGGGAAGGCUAGGGUAGCCCAAAUUUGGAAGGAGGGGUCUAUAUAUAGCAAAAAGAGGCUAGGGUUGGGGGGUUUGUGGAUGAUCUCGGGCAUCGGAUCGUGAUCCGACGGUCCGGUACGGAGGGGUGUUUAGGUGGGCUGCAUAUGGACUAGUGUAGUGGCUGUGAAGAGGGUGUGGGCUGCGGGAGAGAAGAAAGAGAGAGAGAGAGGCCCGACGGCAGUUUCAGAGACCGAAACAUCCGGCGAAUACACCGACUAUAUUGCGGUUAUAAGUUAACGGUUGGGCUAUCAAACAAGCUCCGAAUGCGACGAAACUUGACAGGCGGUCUACCUACACUAUAAUAAGACCGCACGCCAACUUUCUUCCCAUUCCGAGAAUAUUUUUAAGCCACUUAUAAAUUAAUAUUUCGGAGGUGCCGCGGGCGCGUGCGAGUGUGGUUGAGCUCAGAACGGACAACAGAGAGAACCGGCGGAACCCGAACAGAUGCAAGAUUUAAAAAACAUGUAGAUGAAAUGCAGAUGAUGGCAUGGCAAAAUGCAACACGCAAGCAAAUGACAUGGCAACGACGGCGAAUAACUGGGAGACACCUGGCGCAUCGAAUCUGGGGCGUUACACAAUCACAUGUUAGAGACCGUUUCAAUCAUAAGGAAUCGGUCCAGAGCUCAAGGAAGAAGAAAGAGGUGGUCAAGCAAGUUCACCGUGUUAAAAGAGAUGGUCAUAAGAGUGCAACUUCAGAUUUGAUCUCAAAUGAAAAAGAGCCAAUUAAAGUGUUGACAUUGUCUACUAAAGGCAAUGAGACAAAGCAACCAAUUAUUGAGAGUCAAAGUGCCAAAUCUGAAGAAAAGAAGUUGAGAGUGCACAAGGCCAAAAAGGAAUUGCCAUUGGUCAAAACGGAAUCACAACCGAGAUGCCCGCUCGGCUUAUCGUAUUGGCAAAAGAAGAAAUUACGAAAAAUUAGUGCACAAGAACUUGAAGAAAGGAACAUGGCAUGGGUUCCCAAAGGAAGUGCUCAAAAUAAGAAUUAUGUGCAAGCUUCCGUUACAAUAAGUGCGGCAAAGGUGAAGAAGGAAAAGAGUGAAAACUAUGAAGGACCAAGCCAAAGGUUUCAACAUCUUUGGUCUACACAUUAGCCAUAUUCUUCAACUAUGCCAUUAACGCCUAUGCCAUGGAAUUCAUCAUCAGGUAUGAUUGGUAAACCUCAAUGGGCUUAUUUUAAUCCAUGGAUGCAAUAUAAUUUCUUACGUCAUGAAAGGGUAUUACCAAAUCACUAUACAUUUGGUUAGUUACAUUAUUGUUGCUAAUACAAAGGGGCCGAAAUAUUUUAUUACUAUUUCAUUUGUUUAUUUCGGCUAUACAUACUUUGGUGGGUGAAUUCUACAUGGACCUGUGGUAAUGGCCGAUAUUCAUCUAUCGCCUUAAGAAUAUAUCUAAGAAUGGCCGGUGUGGUAUUCUAACAUUGAGAUAAGUGCUUGCAUAGAAAUCUGUCAAGUUGUUGCCAUUGAAGAUAUUAUGCAUAGACCAAUCCAAAAAAACUACAAAGUGGACUUACAUUUUGAUUUUGGUGUGCUUUGGCUUAUUAGUUUUCAGAAUUUAUGUAAAGCCAAAUCAUGGUUGAUUUUGUUAUUGAGCAUCAUAUUUACAUCAUGCAUAAUACUGAUGUUCGCUUUAUCUCUCUAGUACCAUGGUGAUUAUAUAUUGAUGAUUAAAUUUGUAGCAAUGGCCAAGGUCUUGGUGUUGUUUACAUAUCUCCUUAUGGUGCUAUUCUAUGAAGCCUCAUACCGCUUAAACUAUUUAUGCACAAAUGAUCAAAGCCGAAUAUGCAAUGUUAUUCGGUUUGGAGCUUUUUGGUGCCAUAGGUACUAAUCACAUUGAGGCUUUCAGUGAUUCGUUAUGAGUAGUACAACAAAUAUCCAAGGGUUAUCAAUGUUUUGACGAAUCACUUAUAGUUUACCUUGAGGUAUGUCUAGAUAUAUAAUUUACCUUGGGUUGCUUUAGUAUUGUUCAUAUAUUUAGACAUGAAAAUUCAGAAGAGUUGGCCCAACAAGCAUCUGGCUACUAUGUUAAUCAUGGUGUAUUGCAUUUCUCUCAAUAGCCGAUGCUUAGUUUCGUCAACAUAGGUGAGGCCGAACCAAAGUCCAUAACUUCGUCCACUAAUGAAAUUAAUAUGCAGGUGGAAGUAAGGAUUGGAGGAAGUUCAUUCUUGAUUAUCUGCAAAAUCCUAGUGAAAGGGGUGAAAAAGUUCGGAGGAUGGUUUUGAUCUAUGGAACCUUAUCACCGGAUUGUUAUAGAAGCUGAGAAGUUUUCACCCAAGUUUGCAUCAAGAGGUUCAAACAAGCAAUGGCCGAUAUAUACUUAUCAUCCUAAGAACAUGCAAAAUGGCCGAUGGAGAGUUGACAUCGUCCUUAGAACAAGCUAUGCAGAAGUUAUUUUUUGGCACACAAGUUUUUGCCGAAAAAUAGGGGGGCAUGUGUUGACACCUGAUUUUGGCAUGGUCGAAAACAUAAUUAAGAAGGCCUCAAACAGAAAAGUGCUCAAAGUGAGAAAGUUCCAUAUCUUCAAAAGGAGAAACUUUGAUAUUUGGUUCAUGGCCAUCUCGUCUCAUCUCUAAGGCCGAAGUUGUGUGUGAAGUACUGAGAUUUUGUAUCCAGAACACUAUUUGGCUGAUUACUCCCCCAAUAUGGCCUCAUAUGAGAAAACUUUCUAGACGAACUGUUUUCGUCUCGUCGAAACGGUCGAUUCUGAUAUAAAAGACAUCUUAAUCCGAUGUUGUAUGCAAAAGUUACAACUAGUACAAGAUGCUACUGCACUGGAUGGCCGGACACUCCGGGGACAACCAUCCGGGUUUUGAUUUUCUAUGUGGAUGGCCGAACACUCCGGGUAUGUUCGUCCGGGUUUUGAAUUUCGCUCCUGCAAACUUCGGAAAACAGCCGAAACCCCCCUCAAGAUGGCCUGAGAUCAAAAACGUUCAACAUGAAAGUUGUUUGCCUCGUUGAAACAGUCAAGAUUGCUUUUGGGCUCGUUUCCAUCCGAGGUCGUUUACUCCCCCAAACAUGGCCCGCAAGGUGCAGCCAGAUUUUACCGAACAGUUUUGGAAAGUUCGGACCAAGCAAAUCCGAAUUGGACUAGGGUUUUGGACAUGAAUUGAAGCCUUUUCCUUGCACGAGAAGUCCAACCGCCUCUUAUAUACUUAAGGGGCGACGACUGGUUGAAUAACACACAAUCGAACAAAUCAUCUACCACUUUUUAUCUUUUAUCUUUUCUCCUUAACCCUAGUUCUUCUUCUUCCUCGUUCUUCGUCUGUUCUUCUUGUUGCAGGGCGGCGAACCUCAAGGACCUAGUGGCGAUCAGGUCGACCUAGGGCAGCCCAUAGCCACCGCACGCCCUGACGGGGUCCCUCCCGGGUGUGUGGGGUUUCGGGUCAUCAAAAGCGCCCGCUGGAUUGCUUGCUUACCGCACUUCCAAACGGGUCUCAUUCGAAGUGAGCUGCGGUGCAUCACCCUCGAUGUUGGAGGUACACGGUGACGUGUUCAUGUGCGAACAUGCUAUCAGACGUCACUUCAUAACUGGGUGAUCAUAAAGGUGCUCUAUAGGUACCUCUGAAGGUGUCUAUUGGCUUGGCAUGAAUCGAGUCUGGGAUUUGUCACUCCGUAUGACGGAAAUAUAUCUCUGGGCCCUCUCGGUAAUACAACAUCGUAAAGAUCUUGCAAGCAAUGUGGCUAAUGAGUUCUCACGGAUCUUUUAUUACGGAACGAGUAAACAAACUUGUCGGUAACGAGAUUGAACUAGGUAUGGAGAUACCGAUGAUCGAAUCUCGGACAAGUAACAUAUCACUGGACAAAGGGAAUUGCAUACAGGAUUAACCGAGUCCUCGACAUCGUGGUUCAAUGUAACGCCCCGGAUUCGAUGCACCAGGUGUCUGCCAGUUAUUCGUCAUCGUUGCCAUGUCAUUUGUUUGCGUGUUGCAUUUUAUCAUGUCAUCAUGUGCAUCUCAUUUUGCAUACGUGUUCGUCUCAUGCAUCCGAGCAUUUUCCCCGUUGUCCGUUUUGCAAUCCGGCACUCCUAUGUCCUCCGGCGUUCCCCUUUUUGUCUCCUAUUGUGAGCGGGUGUUAAACUUUCUCGGAAUGGACCGAGGUUUGCCAAGCGGCCUUGGUAUAGCACCGGUAGACCGCCUGUCAAGUUUCGUGCCAUUUGGAGGUUGUUUGAUACUCCAACGGUUAACCGGGUAACCGCAAAAGCCUCUGUUGUCUUGCAGCCCAACACCCCUUCAAAGUGGCCCAAAACACAUCCUAACCCCCUCCAUACUCUUGGUCGUUCUAUCACGAUCGUGUGGGCGAAAACCGCUCCUCAUUUGGACUCUCCUAGCUCCCAGAAUCUAUAUAAUAGCCCCUCCCCCGAAAUUCGCGGAUCAAUUCCACCCCAAACCCUAAAAUUCCCCUCCGCGCCGUGCCGGACAUGUCCGUCCGCGCCGGACAAAGCCCGCGCCGCCGCCUCCGGCCAACCGGCGUCCGCCAUGUGUUGCGCCUCCGUCGCCCGUGCCGUCGGCCCGCCUGGNNNNNNNNNNNNNNNNNNNNNNNNNNNNNNNNNNNNNNNNNNNNNNNNNNNNNNNNNNNNNNNNNNNNNNNNNNNNNNNNNNNNNNNNNNNNNNNNNNNNNNNNNNNNNNNNNNNNNNNNNNNNNNNNNNNNNNNNNNNNNNNNNNNNNNNNNNNNNNNNNNNNNNNNNNNNNNNNNNNNNNNNNNNNNNNNNNNNNNNNNNNNNNNNNNNNNNNNNNNNNNNNNNNNNNNNNNNNNNNNNNNNNNNNNNNNNNNNNNNNNNNNNNNNNNNNNNNNNNNNNNNNNNNNNNNNNNNNNNNNNNNNNNNNNNNNNNNNNNNNNNNNNNNNNNNNNNNNNNNNCGCCGCCGCGCGUCCCCGGCGACCGGCGCCGCCCCGCGCCCCGGAUUCGCCCAGACCUGCCCGUCUCCGGCCUUCUCCUUCCUCUCCGGCAUCGACUCCGGCGAAGCUCCGGCCAUCUUCGAAAACCGUGCCAGAUCCAGAUCCACGAGGUUGACUUUGAAAUUACUCUAAGUCCCCGUAAUUUUGCAUAUUCUGGUGCCCCUUUGACCUGCCAUAACUUGCUGCAUACUGCUCCGUUUCAUGCGUGUAAUAUGUCAAAAUGUUCAUUGAGAGAUGCUCUACAUUUCAUUCCAUUGCAUCAUGUUCAUUUGAGCUCAUCUUGAUGCCUGAAUCAUCGUUGCAAGAGUGCUAAGUGAUAUUAAUCUGCUGAAACUGUUAUAACUUGCUCUUUUGUCAUUUUUGCCAUGUUUGAUGUGUGCAUCAUAUGAGGUUGAUGUCUACAUGCAUUUUGAUCUAUGCCAUGCCAUCUUUACAGGAGUGCCAUCCAUGUAUUUUUGUGAGUUGUGUAGUGAGUGCAUCAAGAUUGUUAAGUAGGGUACUUGCUGUUACUGUUUUGCUAGGCUGAAUCUGUUAUUUCGUGAUGCUAUUUAAACCUGCUGCUACAAGUCAUUCUAUGCAUAAUCUGGAGAUGUUCACUAAGGGUGUUUUGUUAUACAUGUUAUGCUAUAUCCAUUCAUGCCCCUGGUUGCAUUUAUAGCUUGCUGUAGGUUGUUGUAAUCUUGCUCCAAAGUUGCUAAAUAAUGUUGCUGUCAACCUGUUAACAUUAAGUUCAAUGUUGCCAUGUUUGUUGUUAGUGAUCCAUGUACCCUAUGACCUUGCUCUUGACAUGCUUAGCUUCACAAACAUGUCUUCUUACUGUUGGUUGCCUUGCCAUGCCAUGUGUUGCUAUGUGAUGAGUGGUUCAAGCUCACCAACAUUCCUACUUAUUGUUGUUCCUGCCAUGUAUGAAUCUGUCAUAUCACUUACUAUGUUUACAUGGGUGCCAUCAUAUUUUCUGUGCCCUUUUGGCUCAUGGUCAGUAAAGGACUUUUGUUAUAUGAAAUUAUUAGAUUCAUGCCAUGCCUUUGUUUGCCAUGAUAUGUUCCUGUAACAUGUUGUUUGAUAGCUCUAAACAUUGCAACCUGAUGUUAUUUUCUGAUAAGUCUGAAACUGUUAUUAUUUGCAAUCUUGCCAUGUGUUUUGAGCAUGUUCUAGUGAUUUCUGGAGUUAGCUCAGUGUUCAUGUUUUGUUAUGCUUUACCUGUACAUCAUGCCCAUGCCUUUUGUUCUCAUGUUGGGGUGCUAUAUCAUGUUGUUUUGAUGUUUGCAAUAUGCCUAGUUGCUGUUUUAGACAAAUUGUUGUUAUAUCAUGUUUGGAGUGUAUGUGUUGAACCGUUGCUCCGUUUUGAGUGUGCUCUAUAUGAAACUUGCCUAGUUUUGCAUGUAGUUUCAUAUUAUCAUGUUGCAUCCAUGUUUUGAGGUUUUUGCUUGAGGUUUGUUUGCAUUUUGCAUCAAUGCCAUGUUUAACUUGUUUUGCUCAUAUCUUCUAGGCCGUAGCUCCGAAUCUAAUGAACUUCAUACUUAACUUGACUAGAAUCUCGUGUAGAUCCUCUUGGUGCUCUUUAACUUGUUGUUUAACAACUUGAAUAUAAGGUUUAAUCAGAUCUGGACCAAUUUCGAAAUUUGCAUAUGAGGACUUACCGGAAUUGUUAUAUGUUGUUUCCGGCCUCAUUUGACUUUGUUUUGAUGUGUUGCUCUUGUUUGCAUCGUCUCUUGCCAUGAGUAGCUUCAUGUAGCUUUGUCAUGCAUCAUGCUUGUUGAGCAUCACGCCUUGUUCAUGUGUGGUGUGUUUACCAUGUUGUGUGCUUCUUCUCGAUAGUUUCCGUUUCGUUGCGAUCGUGAGGAUUCGUUCGUCUACGCUUGGUUCGUGUGCGUGGCUUUUUCUUCUUCAUGGACUCGUUCUUCUUCCUAGCGGGAUUUCAGGCAAGAUGACCGCUACCCUGGAUCUCACUACUAUCAUUGCUAUACUAGUUGCUUCGUUCUAUCGCUAUGCUGCAUUACCUAUCUCUUGUUCCUCAAGUCUCCCAAUUUGCCAUGUCAGCCUCUAACCUUUUUCACCCUUCCUAGCAAAUCGUUGAUUGGCUUUGAUACCGUUUUGCUGAGCCCCUCUUAUAGCGUUGUUAGUUGCAGGUGAAGUUGAAGAUUGAUCCAUGGUGGACAGGAUUUUGUUGGGAUAUCACAAUAUCUCUUAUUUUAAUUAAUGCAUCUAUAUACUUGGUAAAGGGUGGAAGACUCGGCCUUAUGCCUGGUGUUUUGUUCCACUCUUGCCGCCCUAGUUUCCACCAUGCCGGUGUUAUGUUCCCGGAUUUUGCGUUCCUUACGCGGUUGGGUGAUUUAUGGGACCCCCUUGAUGGUUCGCUUUGAAUAAAAGUCCUCCAGCAAGGCCCAACCUUGGUUUUACCAUUUGCCUCACCACCACCUACUUUUCCCUUGGGAGUCGCUCUCUCGAGGGUCAUCUUUAUUUUAGCCCCCCCAGGCCAGUGCUUGUCUAAGUGUUGGUCUGAACUAAGCUGCCUGCGGGGCCACCUCGGGGCAACUUGAGGGUUGGUUUUACUCGUAGCUAGUCUCAUCCGGUGUUGCCCUGAGAAUGAGAUAUGUGCAGCUCCUAUCGGGAUUGUCGGCGCAUCAGGCGGCUUUGCUGGUCUUGUUUUACCAUUGUCGAAAUGUCUUGUAAAUCGGGAUUCCGAGUCUGAUCGGGUCUUCCUGGGAGAAGGUAUAUCCUUCGUUGAUCGCGAGGGCUUAUCAUGGGCUAAGUUGGGACACCCCUGCAGGGUUUAAACUUUCGAAAGCCGUGCCCGCGGUUAUGUGGUAGAUGGGAAUUUGUUAAUGUCCGGUUGUAGAUAACUUGACACCAGAUCCGAAUUAAAACGCAUCAACUGCAUGUGUAGCCGUGAUGGUCUCUUUUCGGCGGAGUCCGGGAAGUGAACACGGUUUUGGGUUAUGUUUGACGUAAUUAGGAGUUCAGGAUCACCUCUUGACCAUUUCUAGUUUCACGACCGUUCCUUUGCUUCUCUUCUCGCUCUCAUUUGCGUAUGUUAGCCACCAUACAUGCUUAGUCGCUGCUGCAACCUCACCACUUUACCCCUUCCUUUCCCAUUAAGCUUCGCUAGUUUUGAUACCCAUGGUAAUGGGAUUUCUGAGUCCUCGUGGCUCACAGAUUACUACUACAAUAGUUGCAGGUACAGGUUUUACGAUGAUCAUGACGCGAGAGCGAUGUUUGCUUGUUUUGGAGUUCUUCUUCUGCUUCUUCUUUGAUCGGGGAUAGGUUCCAGGUCGGCAGCCUGGGCUAGCAGGGUGGAUGUCGUUUGAGUUUCUGUUUGUGUUUCAUCCUAGUCGGAUGUUGUUCUCAUAUAUUGAGAUGUUGUAUUCGCGUGGCAUUGAAUGCAUUUUUGUAUGUAUCCCCAUCUAUUAUGUAAUGUUGAUGUAAUGAUAUCCACCUUACAAAAGCGUUUCAAUAUGCGGGUCUAUCCUUGGUGGGACCUUCGAGUUCCUUUUGGAUAGGGUCGCAUAUUGGGCGUGACAUUCAAUCAAUAAAAGAUCUUCGUGGAAUAUGUAGGAACCAAUAUGGGCAUCCAUGUCCCGCUAUUGGUUAUUUACCGAAGAGGUGUCUUGGUCAUGUCUACAUGAUUCUCGAACCCAUUGGGUCCGCAUGCUUAAUGUCCGAUGACGCUAGAGUAGUAUUGGGAUAUGUGCAUUGGUAACCGAAUGUUGUUAGGAGUCCCGGAUGAGAUCCCGAAUGUCACGAGGAGCUCUGAAAUGGUCCAGAGGUAAUGACUUAUAUAUGGGAAGUCCCAUUUUGGUUGCAUCAAAGUUUCGGGCAUUAUCAGCAGUGUACGGGAGUGUCGAAAGGGGUCCAGGGGUCUACAGGGUGGGGAGGGGGGUCCACCUGCCCCGAGGGCCCACAUGGGCUGUAAGGGGUGUGCCUUGGCCUAUAAGGGACAAGGGAACAAGCCCCAAGAGUCCCAUGCACUAAGAGGGGAGAAGGAGGAAGAGUCCUAAGGGGGGAAGGCACCCCCUAGGUGCCUUCGGCAGGGAAGAAACCUCCCUAGGCCCACACCCCUCCUUGGGGAGGGCACCCCGGCCCUCCCCCUUGCCUCCUAUAUAUAGUGGGGGAGAGGGAGGGGCUGAACACACCAAUUCCCACGCCCUGGCGGCAACCCUACCUCUCCCAUAACUUUGUUUUUUCCUCAGAUUGGUUCCGACAGCGUUUGGCGAAGCCCUGCCGGCACUGCACCACCACCAUAUCCACCACGCCAUCGUGUUGGUUGAGAUCCCAUCUAUUCCCCCCUUAUCUUGCUGGAUCAAGGAAGAGGAGAGAUCGUGGAGCCGCAGGAAUGCUGAACGCGGAGGUGCCUUCCGUUCGACGCUAGAUCGGAUUAGACCAUGAUCGGAUCAUGAAGAGUAUGACUACAUCAACUGCGUUAUAUACGCUUCCACUUUUGGUAUACAAGGGUAUGUAGACACACUCUCCUCUCUUGCUAUGCAUCUCCUAGAUUAGAUCUUGAGUGUUCAUAGGAUAUUUUUUGAUUUUCAUGCUUCGUUCCCCAUCCGUGGCAUCAUGAGCUAGGUCUAUGCGUAGAUGUAUAUGCACGAGUAGACCACAAAGAAGUUGUGGGCAUUGAUGUUCAAAUUGCUUACCUCCGUUGUCUUAUUUGGAUUCGGCAGUAUUGUGGGAUGAAGUGACUCCGACCAACGUUACAUGUCCUGGCACAUGAGACCGGUUCCACCGACUAACAUGCAACUUGUAUUGCAUAAGGUGGAUGUCGGGUGUCUGUCUCUCCUACUUUAGUUGAAUCUAAUUUGACAAAGGCGGUCCUUGUAGAAGGUUAAAAGGCAAUUUGACUAUCACCAUUGUGCCUUUCAUAGGUAAGAAUGGUUCUUGCCAGUUGCCCAUAGCAGCCACGUAAAAUUUGCAACGACAAAGUAGAGGACGUCUAACUUGGUUUUGCAGGGCAUGUUGUGAUGUGAUAUGGCCAAAACGUGAUGUGAUAUAUGUUGAUGUAUGGGAUGAUCAUGUUUUGUAAUAGGUUCAUGACUUGCAUGUCGAUGAGUACAUCAACCGACAUGAGCCAUAGGGUUGUAUUUAAUUUAUUUUAUGACAUGUGUGUCACCUAAUAACGUCAUGUAAUUGCUUUACUUUAUCACUAUGCGUUAGCAAUACGUGAAGACACAAUGAUGGAGAUCAUGGUGUCAUGCCGGUGAAGAUGGAGAUCAUGACGGUGCUUUGGAGAUGGAGAUCAAAAGCACGAGAUGAUAAUGGCCAUAUCUUGUCACAUAUAUUUAUUGCAUGUGAUGUUUAUCUUUUUAUGCAUCUUAUUUUUCUUAGGACGAAAAUAACAUUAUAAUAUGAUCCAUUCACUAAAUUUCAACAUAAAAGUGUUCUCCCUAAGUAUGUACCGUUGCGUAAGUUCGUCGUUUCGAAGCACCUCGUAAUGAUCGGGUGUGAUACUCUACGUUCAUACAAUGGGUGUAAGCUAGUUUUACACAUGCAGAAUACUUGGGCUAAACUUGACGAGCCUAGCAUGUACAAACAUGGCCUCAGAACACAGAGGACUGAAAAGUCGAACAUGAGUCAUAUAGUAGAUAUGAUCAACAUGGAGAUGUUCACCAUUGAUGACCAACCCAUCUCAUGUGAUGAUCGGACAUGGGUUGGUUGAUUUGGAUCAUGUAACACUUAGACAACUUGAGGGAUGUUGAUUUAAGUGGGAGUUCAUUAGUAAUAUGAUUAAUUGAACCAAUUAUCAUGAACAUAGUCUUAAUAUCUUUGCAAAAUUAUGUUGUAGAUCAGUGGCUCGUGUUGUAGCUCCCCUGAAUUUUAAUGCGUUCCUAGAGAAAGAAAAGUUGAAAAAUGUUGGAAGCAACUAUGCGGUCUCGAUCCAUAAUUUGAGAAUUAUCCUCACAACUGCACAGAAGGAUUAUGUCCUUGAUGCACAUCUAGGUGAACCACCCGCUCCUGCAAACCUGGACGCUAUGAACGUCUGGCAGACCAGGAAUGAUGACUACAAGAUAGUUCAGUCCGCCAUGAUUUAUGGCUUAGAACCCGGGCUCCAAAGACGUUUUGAGCACCGCGGAGCAUAUGAGAUGUUCCAGGAGCUGUAAUUGGCAUUUCAAGCUCAUGCCUGGGUCGAGAGGUAUGAUACAUUUGACAAGUUCUUUAGAUACAAGAUGGAGGAGAACAACUCCGUUAGUGAACACAUACUCGAGAUGUCCGGGUAUUACAACUGCUUGAAUCAGUUGGGAGUUAAUCUUCUGGAUGAAGUAGGGAUUGAUAGAGUUCUCUAGUCACUACCACCAAGUUACAAGGAUUUCGUGAUGAACUACAAUAUGAAAGGGAUGAAGAAAAUGACCCCUAACCUCUUCAAAAUGCUUAAAGCCACGAAGUUAGAAUUCAAGAAAGAGCAUCAAGUGUUGACGUUGAAUAAGAACACUAAUUUCAAGAAAAACGGCAAGGGAAAGAAAGGGAACUUCAAGAAGAAUGGCAAGUCAAUUGCCGCUCCUAUGAAGAAACCCAAGGCUGGACCCAAACCCGAGACUGAGUGUUUCUAUUUCAAGGGGAAUGGCCACUAGAAGCGGAACUGCCCCAAGUACUUGGCAGAUAAGAAGGCUGGCGAUGUCAACAAAGGUAUAUUUGAUAUACAUGCUAUUGAUGUGUACCUUACUAGUGCUCGUACUAGUGCAUGGGUAUUUGAUACUGGUUCGGUUGCUAAUAUUUGUAACUCAAAACUGGAGCUGCGAAUUAAACGAAGACUAGAUAAGGAUGAGGUGACGAUGCGCGUCGGAAAUGGUUCGAAGAUUGAUGUGAUCGCCGUUGGCAUGCUCCUUCUAUGUUUACCUUCGGGAUUAGUUACAAACCUAAAUAAUUGCUAUUUGGUGCCUGCGUUGAGCAUGAACAUAAUAUCUAGAUCUUGUUUAUUGUGAGAUGGUUAUUCAUUUAAGUCAGAGAAUAAUGGUUGUUCUAUUUAUAUGGAUAAUAUCUCUUAUGAUCAUGCAUCCCUUGUGAAUGGUUCAUUAUUGUUGAAUCGCAAUCAUAGUGAUACACAUUUUCAUAAAAUUGAUGCCAAAAGAUGCAAAUUUAAUGAUGGUAGUACCACAUACUUGUGGCACUACCGCUUAGGUCAUAUUGGUGUAAAGUGCAUGAAGAAACUCCAUGCUGAUGGACUUUUGGAAUCACUUGAUUAGGAAUCAUUUGAUACAUGUGAACCAUGCCUUAUGGGCAAGAUGACUAAAACCCCGUUUUCCAGAACAAUGGAGCGGGCUAGUGACUUGUUGGAAAUAAUACAUACUGAUGUAUGCGGUCCGGUGAGUGUUGAAGCACAUAGUUAAAGGUGGAAACAGUCAAGCCCAACAUGACUUUGGGCCUGUUAAAGGCCUGUCGCGUAAUUUGGCCCGUUGAUGCCUGUACUAAGCUUUCGGCCUCUUAAAGGCCUGUCGCGUAAUUCGGCCCGUUGAUGCCUAUACUAAGGCCCAAGAUAUGUUUCGGCCUGGUAACGGCCCGUGAGCUAACUGGGCCCAAAACGGCUCGGUCUACAUUUCGGCCUUCUGAAGGCCCGGUGAUUGCUAGAGAAAAUUGAGGCCCAACAUGCAUUUUGGCCUGCUAAAGGCCCAUGGUUUCAUCUCGGCUGUAAUAGGCCAGUACAAUAUUCAGCCUGUUAAUGGCCCAAUGCUACCUGGGCCAAACUAAGCGUUGGGUCGACAAAAGGCCCAACUAAAUAUAGGCCGGUGUAAGUUUGGGCCUGGCGCAAUGUGUAAAGGCCCCAAUCAUUCGGGCCCAAGAAAGACGCAGGCCGGCCCAAUUGUGGCCCGCUAAAAACCUGGCCCGUUAGAGUCGAAUGUUUCGGCCCGGUCGACUACAUCUGAUUUUUUUUCAGAUAGCGAAUGAUGGUAGUAACUAGUAGGAAUUAAGAACAAACCUACUCUAUACAAUAAAGAAAUUAUGGCAUAUUAACUAAGAAUAAACCUACACUAUAUAAUAAAGGUUUUAAGGUAUAUUACAUCUACUGGGCAUCGAAGUUCGCCACAGUGAUCAUAAAGCGCAAUGAAGUAGCAGAUUACAAAAAAUGGGCACCAUUGCAGCAUAACAAAAUAAUACUGAACCGAGACCACUUCCAAGACAGUUCAAGAAAGGUUAGCCUUGCGGGGGAACUGCUGCGCAAGUUGCUGAGAGCAUGUCGGUCAUAGCUUCCAGGUGUAGUUGUUUAGCGAUGAGGUUCUCAUUGGUGUUCUCCGCAAUCUUUCUUAGAGAUAGGACUUCUAGUCGAAGUUGAGUUUGCAGAAUACUUUUCUGCUAGAACUUGGGACUGGAGAAGUCAAACUGAUUUGGACAAGAAAUUCUGUGAGCUUGUGUGACUGUUAGUCUCAAGUAACUUGAACACUACAUCAAGACAAGACUUUGGGGUUGUCUCGCUAUCUUCAAGAUGUUUUGCCUUCUUUGCUGCAAUAUAUGUUGGGUUUGUCUCAUAGCCUUCAACAGACUUGUGCAUGCCAUCAGGCAUAUCACCCUGAAACAAAGCAGAGAGAUGACAGGUUUUGCACGUGUAUAAACAAAGAUGAUAACUGUUCUGUCAAUUCUAUCCAAUUUCAAAUUAGAAAAAUAAAGAGUAAGUUCAAAAUAUCAAUAGCAUAAUUUGGCAUUGUUCAUAAUGCGGGGAGCUUCACCACACUACUGGAUUACCAUGUCAACAUAACAAGCAUAGAUGAAGGGCAAAGAAAAUCAUUGUAUUUAUUUUGGAUAAUGUGCAUGACAUGUUGUUCAUACCAUUAGCCACAUCAGUAAGAUAAAACAGGAGAUGACAAGGUGCAAACGUGGGCUGCUUCACCACACACUGGAUUAUAGAUCCACAAAACCAAGCAUACAUAUAGGGAGUACUAAGUAAUGUGCAUGGUACGAAUAAGGAAUUUGGUUUUACAAGUAAAACUUAGAACUUACGGUUCUUACGAACAUGCAUUUUGGUAGAAACAACAAACUAAACAACAGUAAACGAUAGGGAGUAUGAGCAAAUUAAACAGCAGUUGAGGAUAAAGGCUUUAGAAGGACUGACUUACACUAACAGUUAACACCGUCUUUAUAAUUCCCUUCUCCAUGUCAAGGGAAGGAUAACUCAAGAAUUUCAGCACAUAAUCUUCUUCAUAAGCAUUGCCUGUACUCUACAUUUUGUAGAGAGUAAUUAUAGAUAUGAUAAUACUGGAAGGGAUAGAGGAUAAUGAAGAUAAGAUGCAGAUUGAUGCUACAUAAUCAACUACCAAUCCCUAGAAGUACAAUCGUUACAGGACAAAAUGUACUGACAAGAGCAAUGGGCUACACUUCUGCACUGGCAUUGUCUGUGUAUUCUACUUGUUGGUAAUAUUAAAUAUAGAUCUGAUCUUUUUUAGUAAAUGGUGGGCGAGGGAGAUAAGAUGCAGAAUGCUACAAAAUGAACCAAUCUCUCUUCCCAUAAUACAAGAGUGUUUUGAACACUGGUGUACUAUACAAAACGUUCUUAUAUUAUGGGACGGAGGGAGUAGCUGUUAAUGUAAGUAUAGUGAUAGACCACGUUCAGUCCUUACAAGAGGACUACAGAGCUAAACCUCUUCAAAAGCAUUGGGUUGAUUCUAAAUUUGUGUAAGAGUCCAUACGGAUCUUAUAAUGUCCACCAAAUGGACGAUUACGAGGCUAACAUGUGCAGUGAUGCUACAUAAUCAAACAACUAUGAAAGUAAGUAUGGUCAUACAGGGCUAGAGGUACUCACAAGAGCAAUGCAGUGUGCAGUAUAGUUGUGAGAUUCUGUGGUCAGUUGAGAACGAAUGUUCUUCUGCUAACAGUUUUCGUACAAGUGAGACAUUAAGGCAAAUGCAGAAAUGUAGUUCAAAUUGUGAUGUGAUAUCAUAGACAGUACCUUACGCUGUAGCUGAGACCAAUGUGUAACAAGAUUAUUUCAGUCACCGUCGGAUAAAUGUAGCACCAGAGACUUUACAGAAAUUUUGUUCAGAGGCUUGCCAUCGAAGUGCGCUUGCCUCAAGUAGGAACGAUACUUCAUCAACAAGUGCUUGAAAAGCGCAACCAACCCUUGCUCGUCAUCACAAUCCAGUUUGCUCCUCGCCUAUUUCAAAGAAUGAAAUCUUGUAUCUUCUGUCAGCAGAAACAUAUGCAGUAAUGACCAUGAAUAAUAUUAGUACAUUAGUUACGCAUAAGUUGCGGAGGAAGACUGGAAAUUGUUCUGUGUCUGCAGUAUAAUCUUUCCAUGAAGGAAAGAUGUGCAUAAAGUUCCUGACAACAACAUAAGCUUCGUCUUCUAAACUGGGAAGGAAUGGAACAGGGGUCCUAUUUGCUGCAAUUGGGGCUCUCUUUGGUUCAAAAAGGGAUUUGGCAACUGGAUUUGUUGUACUCUUUGCUGGAAUGGGGGUUUUGCAUCGUAUAGCUGGUGCUAUGUCAACUGGCAUAAUCAUACUGUUUGCUGCAGUUGGGGUCUGCUGAGUUGGGGCAUCAGAAAUGACCAGUGUAGUAGGGCUAGAGUCUGCUAGAGUUGGGGUAUUUUGUGGGUCAGAUGAUAUUGCAACUACACCUAAUGGGCUAUUUGACUUAUCAGGUGCCACUACCUUUUCCAAAUACUUUGCUUGUGCUCCUCCACGAUCAGAAAUCGCCCUCUUCCUUUUGAACGUCUGAUACACAAGAACAACAUUUGAAUGGAUAAAUAUGGUAUGAUGAUAGAUGGAAUAUGUACUGAAAAUGGAUAGGCAGGGCGUAUUCACAUACACGAUGUGUAAACUAAGCUAAUGGCAGUUCAACAAAGUAGAAGCAAUGCAAAGCAUCAAUUGCAAGAUAUGUGCGAGCAAUGUAACCUUGGAAAGUUAGAGCAAGUACCUUGAUGGGUGAAUAAGAUAGGGCAUCUUCCUCUGACUCCUCCACUAGGGAGCUACAUUGACUUAAGUCUCCCUCUAGCUCAGAAUCACUGUUAGGAUCAUAUUCUGAGCAUGAAUCUGUAGGUGGAGAACGUUUGCAUUGCAUUGCAUCCAGACUUGAUUUCAGUCCCUUAAUGCCAAGUUUGACAGCCAUGGCAUUGUUCUGCUUUAUUCUUUUCAUGCGCGCAAGCUCAUAAUCAUUAUGAUGCUGUUCAGAAUCUGAGAUUCAUGAAAACAUAAAAGUAGUCAGAUUGUCUAUGCAAUGCAUUGCGGAUUCAACUCGGAGAGUGUCUCCCUAUAAACCCUUGGAUAUGCAAAGUUCACCUCCCCAACCGUGCUAACCAGACCACACACAGAAAUACAAACCCCUUAUGUCUCUAUAAUAGGCAGGCACACAUUUCAAAACUGAAGUAGGAACAUUAGAAUCAUAUGAAAUUCAUAUUUGAACAAAUAAACUAAGCAAUUAUGAGUGGCGCAAUGUUUAGCUUCAAGGGUGGAGUGUUGGUAGUGCGACACAAAGCAAGUAGGCAGAUUGUAUUCCAUGUAAAAGAUCGAAACCUAUGUAAAAGCUGGAAAUGACACUUUCUUUCUAUACAAUGCAGUGUUCGUUACCCACACAUGAUGGAAGAGAUCACAUAGAGAAAUACUAUUCACUCAUGUCUACGGUUCCAGUAUUUAGAAACAAGGUGGUCCACCCUAAAAGAAUAUUGACAACAAAUAUGACAAGGCAAGCAUAGAUGUAGUGAAUCAAUCAUUUACUUGUGAGCUUAUUAGGACAAGUAUGCAGAAUUGUAACUGCAGUAAGAGACCGUCCAAAAUAUGAAUGAAGAAGUUUGUCUAGCACUUAUUGUUUGCAACUAAUCGACGUGAAUAAUUGGAUAUUAUAUCAAAUGAGUAAGAAAGACAAGUAAAAUUGUCAACAAACCUGGCUUUCAGUAGUAAUAUGGGCCAAUGUCACUACGACCAACAAUCCAAAAUGACUAGUUUCUGUUCCGAGGGCCGGAAUUUUGAAAACCCUGUGAACUUUAGAGGUACUAAAGAUUACCGAAAUACAUCUGAACCAUUAUGUGUAGGUAGCACUGAGCACACAACAAACCCUAAUGACAGUCCUGCCUAAUGAGUAAUGAAUCAAUUAGAAAAUGGGUGAUGAAGAGUGGCUGCUGAGUGUUGAGGACGUAUCUCAGGAUAAAUCGGGUUGGCUUGGUGGGUGCUGCAUGCCUGAGCCCUGAGCGGACUGGGAAGGUAGGCACGGUGGCGCGCCCGGGCAGCGGUGACGCUGUUGGGCGUGCGGCUCCUAGCCUCCUGUUAGUCCGGCGUCUCCUCCUAGAGUCAUGCCGUCCGGGGACGACAAGUCGCCGGCGAGGCAGGCAGCUGGGGGCGAGUAGAGAUCGGAAGCGCGCAGUAGAAUAGAGGGGAAUCGGGGCCUGGGACGACCUAAAAUCCCAGGGUGGGCUGGCCCACCAUGGGCACCCUGUAGAGAUACACACCCGAGCGGCGAACAUGCAUUUUCAAAACUAAUUUAGGAACAUUUAGCUGACCAAUUAAACAACUCUGUUUUAAUAAUAUCAGAUUCGUAUUUGAACAUCUAAGCUUGUUUAGCUUGAUGGAUGGAGUAGUGUUAUUAUGACACGAAGCACGUAUUCUGAUCGUAUAGUGAUCAUAAAAGGGGGGAACUCUAAGCAUACUUUUUUAGCAAAAGAGAGUUUCCCCUCCGAUUUCUAUUAAAGAAACUACCACGGAACCAACAUGAUCGAUUAAACCCUAAGCAUGAUCAAUUAAACCGUAUAAUGGCUGUGCCAUGGCAGAUUUGAAGCUGCAAACCGGAGAAAUGAUAUUUAGCAUCCAUUGUUUGCUUCGAACUAAGAACUAAAUUCUAAGAGCUGAAAAGAAAGUAGAGUAACCAAGUUAAAUUCUAUUUUCUGGCUGAGAUCAAAAAGCUGAGGAGAUAUGAAGUACCACCUCUCUUGCGGCACCGUGUAGGCAUCGGGGGUGCGAUGGCUGUUGGUGGCUUUGAAGCAUAUCUGCGACGGUAGACGUGUGCAUUGGGGGAUAAGUCCCGUUGCGGUGGAAGAGAAGCUCGUGUGAGCGGCCCCGGCAAAGAGGACGACGGCGCCGAUGAAGCGAGAGGACACGAUGCAAGGCUAUUAGUCCGUCGCCGUGGAUGAGAAACGUCCAUCUCUAGCAGUGGACGAUGCGGUCUUGGUAGGCGCUCCGGCAUGGUGGAGGACGGUGGCGAUGGAUGUGGUGGAGGACGACGACGAUGGAUGGGGUGGCCGACAGAGGCUGAUGUGGGGAUGGGGUGUUCUAGCACGGACGGUGUAUGAAUGGGAAAAUGGAGGGAGAGGUACGGGGAACCAUGUUUUUGGGACGCGCCUGUCUGAAAUAUGGGAAAGUUACAAACUUAGCCCCAUUUAAAAUUUGGACGUCUCGUCGGUUGGGGAUAGGGCGGUAAUCUCGCAUCUCGCCAAUAUUUGCCUAGAGCGAUUUUGGGCGAGGAGAGGGUGGUUGGCGCCCAUGGUUGGCGCCCAUGGUGUAUGAACAGGGCUGACAGGUAGGGCGGUUGUGUCACGUCUGAGUGAAGUUACAAACCUGCCCCUAUUGAAAAUAUUUGCCUACAUCGAUUUCGGCCGAGUCGAGUUUGUUUUGCCGCCCACCGUGCAUGAAUUGGGCAUGGAGGGAGAAACAGAGGUCUUUCAGAUGAGCUUGAAUCAAAUGUGUUUUGCCACCCAUGUUUGACGCCCACCAUGUCAGAAUGGGCCCAGAGGCGGUCGUGUCACGUCUAAUUGAAGUUACUAACCUACCCCUAUUUAGAGUAGUGGAAAUCGGGACGAUGGAUUGUCCGUGUAAUGGGUAGACAAUAAUUUCCAUCUCCCAAACACUUGGCUUCGGGCAGCCGACAUGGGAGUGGAUAUUUUGCUGCUUCUUUUGAAUUUUGGGACAAUAAGCAUCCACGUUUACCAUGGCAACUAAAUUCGAAUCCAUUUUGUAUUCCUAUAUGAAUCUUUAUAAAUCAUUCUUUGUGUUUUUAUAUAUCUUCAAAAGGACGACAAAGACGUAUUCCAGUGUCAUAUAUGAAUAUGGUUUACAAAUGUUGAUACUCAAAUUCAAAAACUAGAAUCCAGUUUAAGGUGAAUUCGAAUAUUUGGAACACUUCAUGUCCAACUCAAAUGUCACACACAACAUAAUGUGUACUCCCAUUUAGAUAUGUACACAAGCGAUGUAUCAAGAUUCAAAUACCGAGUCAAUCAACCAAGAAUGUACAGAACUAACAGACAUAUAAACACUUAUAGAGUAUAUGGAUCAAUAAUAUUAACUAACAUACAUAAGCCAGGCCGCUGUACUUUUUUUUGGCUACAACAUCAUCCUUUUUUUAGCCAGCAUCUUGGCCCUUUCCGAUGCGUGCCACUUAUGGUCCAUCUAUACUACUACUAUUGCUGAAUGCACAUUCAGCCCGAUUGGCAUAUUUGUAGGUUUGGCACAACAAUCCAAAUGAAAUGUCUUCGAGUCUUAUCAAUUAAUACAGACUUGUGCUCAAAUAAAAUUACAAACCAAAAAACAAAAAAAAAAUUAUUACAUGAUCUCUAAAACAAAUGGUUUGAUUGAUU
Molecule: long non-coding RNA, 40022 nt
Filed under: Triticum aestivum (bread wheat)
Lineage: Eukaryota; Viridiplantae; Streptophyta; Magnoliopsida; Poales; Poaceae
Description: long non-coding RNA (TAES_LNC015897)
Source: RNAcentral